ACCUGGGGAGAGAGAAGAUAGAGGUCAAAAGAGCAAUUACAUUUCACAUUGACUCCAGGAAAGGCUUGGAACACAAAACUGAAAAGAAAAACAGCAUAGAGCUUCACUCUUUCACAUUCCUUUUCUGGUCAUUAUUAUUAAAACAGUGCAGCAACCAUGUCCAUUAUAAGCAUUAUAACAUGAAGAACCAUUUUCCUCCACUGGAUGAGAUCUUUCUUCCCAGACAUUUAGCACUGUCAGCAUAUUCCAAAGGAAUGUAAAUGAGAUACACCACAUAUAACCAGACACAAGCACUGUGUGCAAUUGUACUCAAGGACAGGAUGCAGCCCUUUUGUGCACAUUCUUAGGAAAUUGCAAAGCACCACUAAUUGAUCCAGUUUCCACUAAAUUGACAAUACAACAAGCCCGGAUGAUACUACAAAUCAGGAUAUAAAGGGCCAUUAUAUAAGACAGAUGAGGUUCUUCAAAGAGAUGCAAUAUACGUGAACACAAAUGGAUGAAGGGUAACCAUUUUGUUCAGUAAUUUGAAAAAAAUAUAUUUUAAGUACAUUCUUUUUAUUAACAGCGACCUAAUACAAAUGCAUUCUUAGUAAGUAA
Molecule: long non-coding RNA, 597 nt
Organism: Gavialis gangeticus (Gharial)
Lineage: Eukaryota; Metazoa; Chordata; Crocodylia; Gavialidae
Exons: 3
Source: RefSeq, a predicted model, not a curated record